UACGUAGGGGGCAAGCGUUGUCCGGAUUUAUUGGGCGUAAAGAGCGUGUAGGCGGCUAGGUAGGUCCGUUGUGAAAACUCGAGGCUCAACCUCGAGCUGUCGAUGGAAACCAUCUGGCUAGAGUCCGGAAGAGGAGAAUGGAAUUCCUGGUGUAGCGGUGAAAUGCGCAGAUAUCAGGAAGAACACCCGUGGCGAAGGCGGUUCUCUGGGACGGUACUGACGCUGAGACGCGAAAGCGUGGGGAGCGAACAGG
Molecule: ribosomal RNA, 253 nt
Filed under: uncultured bacterium
Lineage: Bacteria
Description: partial 16S ribosomal RNA
Rfam family: Bacterial small subunit ribosomal RNA
Source: RNAcentral